UACGGGGGGAGCAAGCGUUGUUCGGAUUUACUGGGCGUAAAGGGCGCGUAGGCGGCGUAACAAGUCACUUGUGAAAUCUCCGGGCUUAACUCGGAGCGGUCAAGUGAUACUGUUGUGCUAGAGUGCGGAAGGGGCUACUGGAAUUCUCGGUGUAGCGGUGAAAUGCGCAGAUAUCAGGAGGAACACCGGUGGCGAAGGCGGGUCUCUGGGCCGAUACUGACGCUGAGGAGCGAAAGCGUGGGGAGCGAACAGG
RNAcentral lists this ribosomal RNA (253 nucleotides) under uncultured bacterium. RNAcentral's name for it is "partial 16S ribosomal RNA". It matches the Rfam family "Bacterial small subunit ribosomal RNA", at positions 524 to 776 of the family's 1533-position model. The record is from RNAcentral.